Molecule: long non-coding RNA, 760 nt
Organism: Cynoglossus semilaevis (tongue sole)
Lineage: Eukaryota; Metazoa; Chordata; Actinopteri; Pleuronectiformes; Cynoglossidae
Exons: 4
Source: RefSeq, a predicted model, not a curated record
GGAACAAGUGGAGCAAAUCCGCUUUCUUCUCGUUCUCCAAACCAGCAGACAGUUGGCAGGUAUGUCCAUCACUUGAUAUGGUCACAUAUGUUUAUUAUUAAAAAACUAUUUCACAUGGUGUUUAAUGACAACAUGAGACACGUGUAUCUGUCUUUCUUGCCUGCAGUAUGUGGUUUAUAGACCUGGCAGGAAGUGAAAGGGCAUCAGACACCAAAAAAACAAACAGACACAGUCGCAUAGAAGGAGCUGAGAUCAACCAAAGUCUCUUAGCAGUAAGCUAAAUAAUUCACAAAGAGCCAAGGACAUCACAAAGAGUAUUGCCAUGAUGAUCGUGAAGGACCUACAACCCCUCUCUGUGGUUGAACAGGAGGGUUUCAAGAAUUUAAUAAAGACACUUGAUCCCCGCUACAGGAUGCCAAGUGAUUUCUCACGGCAGCUAGGAGCACACACAGGGAACAAGUGGAGCAAAUCCGCUUUCUUCUCGUUCUCCAAACCAGCAGACAGUUGGCAGUAUGUGGUUUAUAGACCUGGCAGGAAGUGAAAGGGCAUCAGACACCAAAAAAACAAACAGACACAGUCGCAUAGAAGGAGCUGAGAUCAACCAAAGUCUCUUAGCAGUAAGCUAAGUAAGUGAUAUGUUAACACACACAAAGAGCUCAAAUACAGAAACAAAGGUCAUUGUAUUUACCUUUUAUUUGUUUAAAGCUCAAAGAAUUGUAGGUGCAAUGGGUCGAGUGCUGCUUAGGAGCACUCGGUGUUA